GAUCAUGGCUCAGGAUGAACGCUAGCUACAGGCUUAACACAUGCAAGUCGAGGGGAAACGAUAUUGGAAGCUUGCUUCCGAUAGGCGUCGACCGGCGCACGGGUGAGUAACGCGUAUCCAACCUGCCCACCACUUGGGGAUAAACCUUGCGAAAGUAAGACUAAAUGCCCAAUGACAUCCCACGAAGGCAUCCGAAUGGGAUUAAAGAUUUAAUCGGUGAUGGAUGGGGAGUGCGUCUGAUUAG
RNAcentral lists this ribosomal RNA (244 nucleotides) under uncultured bacterium. Its description in RNAcentral is "partial 16S ribosomal RNA". It matches the Rfam family "Bacterial small subunit ribosomal RNA", at positions 15 to 244 of the family's 1533-position model. The record is from RNAcentral.